RNAcentral lists this long non-coding RNA (658 nucleotides) under Rattus norvegicus (Norway rat). RNAcentral's name for it is "long non-coding RNA NONRATT024183". The record is from RNAcentral. Lineage: Eukaryota; Metazoa; Chordata; Mammalia; Rodentia; Muridae.
CUGAAUUCAGGAAAAUGGGAUUCCCUGUGGAGAUGCUUCCUGGUAUUUUGUCACAGAGUAUUUUUUGACCACUGGCAGGUCUACUUGCUGGGAAGUGGGGGUCUUGCUGUACCUUAGAUCCCAGGUGAAAUUCAAGGGAGUAAGGAACCCCUUCAGGACAACGUUAUUGCCACCUAUGAGGAGCAUGAGGACAGCGUGUAUGCUGUGGAUUGGGCCUCAGCUGACCCAUGGCUGUUCGCUUCCCUGAGUUACGAUGGGAGACUAGUUAUCAACAGAGUCCCCAGGGCACUGAAGUACCACAUACUGCUCUAGUGGCCCAUGGCACUGCUGCUUGGUACUCGGCAAAUUCUCAGAAAUCUGCAGCUACGAGGUAAUUCCCUUCACAGACAUCCCUCCUUGGGAGAACCAGCGUUGCUUCUCCAGGAGCUCUAAGGACUGGAGCUACUGCCAGCAGCUCAUCUGAUGUUGUCAGCACACUGCUCAGCAUGGGAGGGAGCCAUACUGGACACAGCAUUCCUGUGUGAAUUGAUGGUUGCCCAGUCUCUGGUCGGUUUCUGGUUUCUGUCUUAAGGGUGUUGGGAGUUUAACUUUUCCACAGUGUGUUUCCGCCUUCCUGUUGUCAUGAGAUUACAAACUGAAAUAAAGUCAGUGGGAUGUG